GGCGUAAGAUAAAUCGUGGCCGCGAGUAUGGCGGCUGUGGUUGGAGUGGUGGCGUGAACUUUGGCACUGAGGGACGAGCUUGGUGAGCUUGGUGAGCUUGGUGAGCUUGGUGAGCUUUUCCAACCUGAAUGAUUCUAUGACCGAGCCUCCACGUGGUCACCAGUUUUACCUCAGGAUAGCUAUGAAGUUCAGGUAAACCAUCCAGGAUCGUCUCAGGUUAUGGAAGACUCACAAGGCA
This is a long non-coding RNA of Tympanuchus pallidicinctus (lesser prairie-chicken), 238 nucleotides long. RefSeq lists it as uncharacterized. Lineage: Eukaryota; Metazoa; Chordata; Aves; Galliformes; Phasianidae. The transcript has 3 exons. The record is from RefSeq and is a predicted model, not a curated record.